Molecule: ribosomal RNA, 458 nt
Filed under: uncultured eukaryote
Lineage: Eukaryota
Description: SSU rRNA
Rfam family: Eukaryotic small subunit ribosomal RNA
Source: RNAcentral
UGGCUCAUUAAAUCACACCUAAUCUACUGGAUAGUAAACAGUUACUUGGAUANCUGCGGUAAUUCUGGAGCUAAUACAUGCACAAAGCCCCGAACUUACGUGAGGGGCGCUUUUAUUAGAUCAAAACCAAACGGCUUCGGCUGUACUCUUGGUGACUCUGAAUAACUUUGGGCUGAUCGUACGGCCUAGCGCCGACGACAUAUCCUUCGAAGGUGUGCCCUAUCAACUGUCGACUGUGGCAUAGACGCCCACAGUGGUUUUGACGGGUAACGGGGAAUCAGGGUUCGAUUCCGGAGAGGGAGCCUUAAAAACGGCUACCACAUCUAAGGAAGGCAGCAGGCACGCAAAUUACCCAAUGACCGAAGGUCGAGGUAGUGACAAAAAAUAACGAUACGGGACUCAUCUGAGGCCCCGUAAUCGGAAUGAGUACACUUUAAAACCGUCCCCGAGGAUCUAUU